GCACAGGCUGUGAACUCGAAGAGUAGGGCGGGACACGUGGUAUCCUGUCUGAAUAUGGGGGGACCAUCCUCCAAGGCUAAAUACUCCUGACUGACCGAUAGUGAACCAGUACCGUGAGGGAAAGGCGAAAAGAACCCCGGCGAGGGGAGUGAAAAAGAACCUGAAACCGUGUACGUACAAGCAGUGGGAGCACCUUUAUGGUGUGACUGCGUACCUUUUGUAUAAUGGGUCAGCGACUUAUAUUCUGUAGCAAGGUUAACCGUAUAGGGGAGCCGCAGGGAAACCGAGUCUUAACUGGGCGUUAAGUUGCAGGGUAUAGACCCGAAACCCGGUGAUCUAGCCAUGGGCAGGUUGAAGGUUGGGUAACACUAACUGGAGGACCGAACCGACUAAUGUUGAAAAAUUAGCGGAUGACUUGUGGCUGGGGGUGAAAGGCCAAUCAAACCGGGAGAUAGCUGGUUCUCCCCGAAAGCUAUUUAGGUAGCGCCUCGUGAACUCAUCUUCGGGGGUAGAGCACUGUUUCGGCUAGGGGGUCAUCCCGACUUACCAACCCGAUGCAAACUACGAAUACCGAAGAAUGUUAUCACGGGAGACACACGGCGGGUGCUAACGUCCGUCGUGAAGAGGGAAACAACCCAGACCGCCAGCUAAGGUCCCAAAGUCAUGGUUAAGUGGGAAACGAUGUGGGAAGGCACAGACAGCCAGGAUGUUGGCUUAGAAGCAGCCAUCAUUUAAAGAAAGCGUAAUAGCUCACUGGUCGAGUCGGCCUGCGCGGAAGAUGUAACGGGGCUAAACCAUGCACCGAAGCUGCGGCAGCGACACUAUGUGUUGUUGGGUAGGGGAGCGUUCUGUAAGCCUGCGAAGGUGGCCUGUGAGGGUUGCUGGAGGUAUCAGAAGUGCGAAUGCUGACAUAAGUAACGAUAAAGCGGGUGAAAAGCCCGCUCGCCGGAAGACCAAGGGUUCCUGUCCAACGUUAAUCGGGGCAGGGUGAGUCGACCCCUAAGGCGAGGCCGAAAGGCGUAGUCGAUGGGAAACAGGUUAAUAUUCCUGUACUUGGUGUUACUGCGAAGGGGGGACGGAGAAGGCUAUGUUAGCCGGGCGACGGUUGUCCCGGUUUAAGCAUGUAGGCUGGUUAUCCAGGCAAAUCCGGAUAAUCAAGGCUGAGGUGUGAUGACGAGGCACUACGGUGCUGAAGUAACAAAUGCCCUGCUUCCAGGAAAAGCCUCUAAGCAUCAGGUAACAUCAAAUCGUACCCCAAACCGACACAGGUGGUCAGGUAGAGAAUACCAAGGCGCUUGAGAGAACUCGGGUGAAGGAACUAGGCAAAAUGGUGCCGUAACUUCGGGAGAAGGCACGCUGGUGUGUAGGUGAAGUCCCUGCGGAUGGAGCUGAGACCAGUCGAAGAUACCAGCUGGCUGCAACUGUUUAUUAAAAACACAGCACUGUGCAAACACGAAAGUGGACGUAUACGGUGUGACGCCUGCCCGGUGCCGGAAGGUUAAUUGAUGGGGUUAUCCGUAAGGAGAAGCUCUUGAUCGAAGCCCCGGUAAACGGCGGCCGUAACUAUAACGGUCCUAAGGUAGCGAAAUUCCUUGUCGGGUAAGUUCCGACCUGCACGAAUGGCGUAAUGAUGGCCAGGCUGUCUCCACCCGAGACUCAGUGAAAUUGAACUCGCUGUGAAGAUGCAGUGUACCCGCGGCAAGACGGAAAGACCCCGUGAACCUUUACUAUAGCUUGACACUGAACAUUGAGCCUUGAUGUGUAGGAUAGGUGGGAGGCUUUGAAGCGUGGACGCCAGUCUGCGUGGAGCCAACCUUGAAAUACCACCCUUUAAUGUUUGAUGUUCUAACGUUGGCCCCUUAUCGGGGUUGCGGACAGUGUCUGGUGGGUAGUUUGACUGGGGCGGUCUCCUCCCAAAGCGUAACGGAGGAGCACGAAGGUUAGCUAAUCCUGGUCGGACAUCAGGAGGUUAGUGCAAUGGCAUAAGCUAGCUUGACUGCGAGCGUGACGGCGCGAGCAGGUGCGAAAGCAGGUCAUAGUGAUCCGGUGGUUCUGAAUGGAAGGGCCAUCGCUCAACGGAUAAAAGGUACUCCGGGGAUAACAGGCUGAUACCGCCCAAGAGUUCAUAUCGACGGCGGUGUUUGGCACCUCGAUGUCGGCUCAUCACAUCCUGGGGCUGAAGUAGGUCCCAAGGGUAUGGCUGUUCGCCAUUUAAAGUGGUACGCGAGCUGGGUUUAGAACGUCGUGAGACAGUUCGGUCCCUAUCUGCCGUGGGCGCUGGAGAAUUGAGGGGGGCUGCUCCUAGUACGAGAGGACCGGAGUGGACGCAUCACUGGUGUUCGGGUUGUCAUGCCAAUGGCACUGCCCGGUAGCUAAAUGCGGAAGAGAUAAGUGCUGAAAGCAUCUAAGCACGAAACUUGCCCCGAGAUGAGUUCUCCCUGAGACUUUAAGUCUCCUGAAGGAACGUUGAAGACGACGACGUUGAUAGGCCGGGUGUGUAAGCGCAGCGAUGCGUUGAGCUAACCGGUACUAAUGAACCGUGAGGCUUAACCUU
RNAcentral lists this ribosomal RNA (2554 nucleotides) under human gut metagenome. Its description in RNAcentral is "bacterial LSU rRNA". It matches the Rfam family "Bacterial large subunit ribosomal RNA", at positions 390 to 2925 of the family's 2925-position model. The record is from RNAcentral.